GGAGAGAUGCCCGAGCUGGCCGAAGGGGUGCGACUGGAAAUCGCAUGUACCGGCUAAAACCGGUACCGUGGGUUCGAAUCCCACUCUCUCCGCUA
Molecule: transfer RNA, 95 nt
Filed under: Deltaproteobacteria bacterium
Lineage: Bacteria; Pseudomonadati; Myxococcota; Myxococcia
Description: tRNA-Ser
Rfam family: tRNA
About the family: Transfer RNA (tRNA) molecules are approximately 80 nucleotides in length. Their secondary structure includes four short double-helical elements and three loops (D, anti-codon, and T loops).
Source: RNAcentral